Molecule: ribosomal RNA, 496 nt
Filed under: uncultured Desulfobulbus sp.
Lineage: Bacteria; Pseudomonadati; Thermodesulfobacteriota; Desulfobulbia; Desulfobulbales; Desulfobulbaceae
Description: bacterial SSU rRNA
Rfam family: Bacterial small subunit ribosomal RNA
Source: RNAcentral
GCCGCUCAGAACUAAGGAAUUGACGGGGCCCGCACAAGCGGUGGAGUAUGUGGUUUAAUUCGAUGCAACGCGAAGAACCUUACCUGGUCUUGACAUCCCGGAGACCCUUAGGAAACUAGGGGGUGCUUCCAUCUGGAAGAAUCUGGAGACAGGUGCUGCAUGGCUGUCGUCAGCUCGUGUCGUGAGAUGUCGGGUUAAGUCCCGCAACGAGCGCAACCCUUGCCUUUAGUUGCCAGCAGUUCGGCUGGGCACUCUAAAGGGACUGCCGGUGUUAAACCGGAGGAAGGUGGGGAUGACGUCAAGUCCUCAUGGCCUUUAUGACCAGGGCUACACACGUACUACAAUGGCCGAUACAAAGGGCAGCGACACUGCGAGGUGAAGCCAAUCCCGUAAAAUCGGUCUCAGUCCGGAUUGGAGUCUGCAACUCGACUCCAUGAAGUUGGAAUCGCUAGUAAUCGUGGAUCAGCAUGCCACGGUGAAUACGUUCCCGGGCCUU